Molecule: long non-coding RNA, 3126 nt
Organism: Protopterus annectens (West African lungfish)
Lineage: Eukaryota; Metazoa; Chordata; Ceratodontiformes; Protopteridae
Exons: 2
Source: RefSeq, a predicted model, not a curated record
CACAUUCUGGCUAGGCUAAUAAAUGCCUUCGGGCAGAUAGCCUAGUACCCACCUAUGAACUCCGAGAACGCACUACCGUGGGGGUGCGGGUCAAAGUUCACAGGGAUGGCCAAACGGUUCCUUACUGUGUGGUGAUCGUCAGCUCUCCAAUUGUCGAUGUUCUGAGGUGUCGAUGCAGUGGAUUUUGAUGUUGUGGCCGUUCGAUGUACUGACGGUAACCCACAUACAUGCAUACACACACACACACACACACACACACACACACACACACACACACACACACACACACACACACUGUUUUGAUGAUUUGUGCAUCUACUUUUUUUUGCAUAAACUGGGGUUUAAAGUCUUUACAUGACUUCUUACACACUCACACGCUCUCCAUUCUGUCGUUGCGCAAAGAAGGAAAUGCUUGAGAGCUCAAUGUGCCUUACUGACAGAAAAGAAGGUAUUGUGUAGCUGUUGGUCCCACCAUUGCCCCUGUUGCCAUCGAGCUAGCUGUCUGUCUGAUGAAACAUGACCCCUGGUCGUCAUGAGAGACCACAGGAGCUGCUGGCCUCUUCACACCCAAAAUAAUUCAGGACAUCUGGCAUAGCUCCUUCACACUGCAUCAGCUAGCUGCUGAGUAAAUUGGCAUAGAAUAUGUACAAUAAACAGUUUAACUGGUGUCUUAUCACUGUGCUGGUGAUUAGCUGUAAAGUAAUUGUAUGGGCUAGUUUAUGUCAAGAAGUAUAGAAGUUAACAGAACACCAGCGUGUUUUGUUUAGCUUAGUUUAACCAUCUGUUUUCCCAGCCAGCUUUCAUAUGUUUCAAGGGCAGACUAUACAUCUGUCAGACAUCAGGCUCAAGGUGAGAACUAGCCCAAAAUAGACUGCAGUCCACCACAGGACAGACACACUCACAUAAACACCUAGGACUAGUUUAGCAUUGCCAGUCCAUCUACCAGGAUUUCUUUGGACUGUUGGAGGAAAGCAAGAGAUCCAAAUAACAACUUGGAUAAAAAUUACCCCAACCAAGAAUACUCAAACUGCUGCCACCCUUUUCAUCAUAAACUAGUUGUAAGAUUUACUGGUAUUAUAUGAUCUUGCAUGAUAUAAAGUCAGAUGAUGAUCCUUUUGCUCAAUACAGAGUUGAAAAGGGGUGGUAACAGUACCUGCAAAUUUUAGUAAAAUAUGUACCGGCUGAGAGGGUACUGGACUCCCAAGGAAUUUUCUGUGCGCCUUUGAUACGGCUAGGGCAUGACAGAUUACCAGGGGCUUGUUGCAGAGUAGACAUAUUAAAAUAAAUUUAAAAAAUAAAUAACUGUGUUUGACAGGAAUGUAUGGCUACCUUAGGAUAUUGUGUAAAUCAUCACUGUUUCUGACACUGAGUGUUAUUUAACUUUGUACUGGUUCAUCUGGCCAUGUCCCACCCCAGAACCUGCUAAAUUUUACCACACAAGUUAUAAGCAGUCAAAUUCCCACAUGCUUUAUAGUAUUCUGCACUUCAUAGUUGGGGUUGUUGACUUGUGAAGAAUUCUAAAUUUUGCAAUGCUUUUCUGACUAUCACCAUAAGUUGAGAUAGCAAAUCUGUCUCAUUUCAUUUUUUUUUUUGAAGGGGCAAGUCUAAGCAUUAUAACAUACUACUGUAAAUUUGUGUUUAUUUAUCAUCUAAUUAACAGUUUAAUUUAAUAGAUAUGCUAAUAAUAUCCUAGAUCACAAGUUUAUAACCACUUGACAUUUGUCUGAAAAUUUCACCUUGGAAUUCUGAAUUGGAGAUUCAAGGUCCUUACUUGCCCUCAUAAAAACCCUAUUAUGAUGGGGUUGAUUUUGGCACUUUAGCAGUGUAGUUAAAUAGAACUUAAUGUUUGUUUUCAUAAAUGCAGCUGACCCACUGCAAACUUUAUGAACCCUGCAGCCUUUGAUAUCCACCUCCUGUGUAAAAUGGUCAGCAGUAACCCAAUAGAAGUAGCUAGUCACUAUAAUGUAAACAUCUGUAUGUAGUCCUCAUCUGAACUUUAUUUAGAUAGGGGAUUUUCAUUUUGUCCUUUUCCCAGAAUUUAGCAUAGUGUUUUCAAAACUUGAGUCUGGAAUAGAAGCACUGAUAUUAAUCAGUCAGAUGCUUGUAAUUUCUAUGGGACUGCAAUCUCAUAAAUGUGCUGCAUAAGUUGCUCACAGCAAAUGGUUGCUGUUCGUGUAAGGAGUGUAUAUUUUAAUCCAAAAUGCAAAUAUUUAAAAAAGAAGGCAUUUCAGCAUAACAGAAAUGUGAGCCUUUACCACCUGAGUCAUGAGGACUUUUAAAGUGCCACAUGUUAUAUACAUUUUUGAAAUUCUUAUGGGUAUUAUAUUAAAGUGGUUAUGUAGGUGACAGUGAUUUUUUUCCCCCUCUUUAUAAGAUUGUCACCUAAAAGAGAAGAUUAUAAAGCUGCUCCAAUGGUGUAGUAGGAUAAAAGCACUGACAAUGGCCCAGGUUGCUUAGGUUCAUUUAGCAGCUCAGGCAAUUGAUGGUGCAGCAGAAAGGGAAGGACUUGGCCAUCCUGGGUGGGAGAGCACUUGUUGAUGACUCUACCUAAGCCGAGCUAUAGUCCAAAGAAGGGAGUUAUCCUCAGUUGUAGUCAGCAAGUUUUGGGGUGGGAAAAGAGAAUGGGUAUGGCAUAUAAAAAGAAUAGGGGGUGGCUGGUAGACCAGGUGUGAAUGUGAGGCACUGGGGGCUGGGCAGGUAGAAUGAGGUCUGCGGUGACCAAACAAUGUAAAAAAAAAAAAAAAAUGAUUAUAAAUUAUGAGGAAAUUGUUUUUCAGUUUUAAGACAGUGGUUAUGUAUGGACACAAUUUGGAUAGCAGAACUUAAUAUAAAACUUGUUUUGGGGGAAAAAAACGGGAUAUUUAACUUAAAUAAGUACUGGACCCCCUGAAUGUUUUAAGUUCUAGUUGUCUGUGUGACUGUUCUAUUAAAGUUAUAAGUUUUAGUGAUUGUGAGUCAAUAGUGUGUAAAAUGGAAUUAAGGUUGUCUGCUCCUUUGUUUGCUACUGAACUAAAAUUAAUGUUUAUAAAUAUUGCAGACAUUUUUAUUUAAACUAAAACAAGAGUGAAUGUUUUCAAAUGUUGAAGAAAUGUUAUUUAAAUUAAAACAAACUCAGAUAAAUUAGAA